Molecule: transfer RNA, 77 nt
Filed under: Clostridium saccharoperbutylacetonicum
Lineage: Bacteria; Bacillati; Bacillota; Clostridia; Eubacteriales; Clostridiaceae
Also listed under: 1 other name
Description: tRNA-OTHER
Source: RNAcentral
GUAAUUAGCUGGUUUGUACCUGGAAAGCGUGUAUAGGGGUAACUCUAUCAGGGGUUCAAAUCCCCUUCUCUCUGCCA